UCCGAUUUAAAGAUCGGCAGUCUCGCUAGAGUGCCCAGCCGAACUGAUGGCAACUAACAACAGGGGUUGCGCUCGUUAUAGGACUUAACCUGACACCUCACGGCACGAGCUGACGACAACCAUGCAGCACCUGUGUUACAGUUUUCUUUCGAACACUCCCUAAUCUCUCAGGGAUUCUGUGCAUGUCAAGGGUAGGUAAGGUUUUUCGCGUUGCAUCGAAUUAAUCCACAUCAUCCACCGCUUGUGCGGGUCCCCGUCAAUUCCUUUGAGUUUUAAUCUUGCGACCGUACUCCCCAGGCGGUCUACUUCACGCGUUAGCUGCGUUACCAAGUCAAUUAAGACCCGACAACUAGUAGACAUCGUUUAGGGCGUGGACUAC
RNAcentral lists this unclassified non-coding RNA (379 nucleotides) under uncultured Gammaproteobacteria bacterium. RNAcentral's name for it is "contains 16S-23S intergenic spacer region". The record is from RNAcentral. Lineage: Bacteria; Pseudomonadati; Pseudomonadota; Gammaproteobacteria.